CCUACGGGGGGCUGCAGUGGGGAAUAUUGCACAAUGGGCGCAAGCCUGAUGCAGCCAUGCCGCGUGUGUGAAGAAGGCCUUCGGGUUGUAAAGCACUUUCAGCGGGGAGGAAGGCGUUAAGGUUAAUAACCUUGGCGAUUGACGUUACCCGCAGAAGAAGCACCGGCUAACUCCGUGCCAGCAGCCGCGGUAAUACGGAGGGUGCAAGCGUUAAUCGGAAUUACUGGGCGUAAAGCGCACGCAGGCGGUCUGUCAAGUCGGAUGUGAAAUCCCCGGGCUCAACCUGGGAACUGCAUUCGAAACUGGCAGGCUAGAGUCUUGUAGAGGGGGGUAGAAUUCCAGGUGUAGCGGUGAAGUGCGUAGAGAUCUGGAGGAAUACCGGUGGCGAAGGCGGCCCCCUGGACAAAGACUGACGCUCAGGUGCGAAAGCGUGGGGAGCAAACAGGAUUAGAUACCCGGGUAGUC
RNAcentral lists this ribosomal RNA (465 nucleotides) under uncultured Klebsiella sp. RNAcentral describes it as "bacterial SSU rRNA". It matches the Rfam family "Bacterial small subunit ribosomal RNA", at positions 338 to 795 of the family's 1533-position model. The record is from RNAcentral. Lineage: Bacteria; Pseudomonadati; Pseudomonadota; Gammaproteobacteria; Enterobacterales; Enterobacteriaceae.